GACGAACGCUGGCGGCGUGCUUAACACAUGCAAGUCGAACGGAAAGGCCCUGCUUUUGUGGGGUGCUCGAGUGGCGAACGGGUGAGUAACACGUGAGUAACCUGCCCUUGACUUUGGGAUAACUUCAGGAAACUGGGGCUAAUACCGGAUAGGAGCUCCUGCUGCAUGGUGGGGGUUGGAAAGUUUCGGCGGUUGGGGAUGGACUCGCGGCUUAUCAGCUUGUUGGUGGGGUAGUGGCUUACCAAGGCUUUGACGGGUAGCCGGCCUGAGAGGGUGACCGGCCACAUUGGGACUGAGAUACGGCCCAGACUCCUACGGGAGGCAGCAGUGGGGAAUACUGCACAAUGGGCGGAAGCCUGAUGCAGCAACGCCGCGUGCGGGAUGACGGCCUUCGGGUUGUAAACCGCUUUCGCCUGUGACGAAGCGUGAGUGACGGUAAUGGGUAAAGAAGCACCGGCUAACUACGUGCCAUCAGCCGCGGUGAUACGUAGGGUGCGAGCGUUGUCCGGAUUUAUUGGGCGUAAAGGGCUCGUAGGUGGUUGAUCGCGUCGGAAGUGUAAUCUUGGGGCUUAACCCUGAGCGUGCUUUCGAUACGGGUUGACUUGAGGAAGGUAGGGGAGAAUGGAAUUCCUGGUGGAGCGGUGGAAUGCGCAGAUAUCAGGAGGAACACCAGUGGCGAAGGCGGUUCUCUGGGCCUUUCCUGACGCUGAGGAGCGAAAGCGUGGGGAGCGAACAGGCUUAGAUACCCUGGUAGUCCACGCUGUAAACGGUGGGUACUAGGUGUGGGGUCCAUUCCACGGGUUCCGUGCCGUAGCUAACGCUUUAAGUACCCCGCCUGGGGAGUACGGCCGCAAGGCUAAAACUCAAAGGAAUUGACGGGGCCCCGCACAAGCGGCGGAGCAUGCGGAUUAAUUCGAUGCAACGCGUAGAACCUUACCUGGGUUUGACAUGGAUCGGGAGUGCUCAGAGAUGGGUGUGCCUCUUUUGGGGUCGGUUCACAGGUGGUGCAUGCCUGUCGUCAGCUCGUGUCGUGAGAUGUUGGGUUAAGUCCCGCAACGAGCGCAACCCUUGUUCACUGUUGCCAGCACGUUAUGGUGGGGACUCAGUGGAGACCGCCGGGGUCAACUCGGAGGAAGGUGGGGAUGACGUCAAGUCAUCAUGCCCCUUAUGUCCAGGGCUUCACGCAUGCUACAAUGGCUGGUACAGAGAGUGGCGAGCCUGUGAGGGUGAGCGAAUCUCGGAAAGCCGGUCUCAGUUCGGAUUGGGGUCUGCAACUCGACCUCAUGAAGUCGGAGUCGCUAGUAAUCGCAGAUCAGCAACGCUGCGGUGAAUACGUUCCCGGG
RNAcentral lists this ribosomal RNA (1343 nucleotides) under uncultured bacterium. Its description in RNAcentral is "16S ribosomal RNA". It matches the Rfam family "Bacterial small subunit ribosomal RNA", at positions 28 to 1378 of the family's 1533-position model. The record is from RNAcentral.